Molecule: ribosomal RNA, 317 nt
Filed under: Burkholderia pyrrocinia
Lineage: Bacteria; Pseudomonadati; Pseudomonadota; Betaproteobacteria; Burkholderiales; Burkholderiaceae
Description: bacterial LSU rRNA
Rfam family: Bacterial large subunit ribosomal RNA
Source: RNAcentral
AAAGCCUCUAAGCUUCAGUCUAACGAUGACCGUACCGCAAACCGACACAGGUGGGCGAGAUGAGUAUUCUAAGGCGCUUGAGAGAACUCGGGAGAAGGAACUCGGCAAAUUGGUACCGUAACUUCGGGAUAAGGUACGCCCUUGUAGCUUGACUGGCCUGCGCCAGGAGGGUGAAGGGGUUGCAAUAAACUGGUGGCUGCGACUGUUUAAUAAAAACACAGCACUCUGCAAACACGAAAGUGGACGUAUAGGGUGUGACGCCUGCCCGGUGCCGGAAGAUUAAAUGAUGGGGUGCAAGCUCUUGAUUGAAGUCCCGG